RNAcentral lists this ribosomal RNA (253 nucleotides) under uncultured bacterium. Its description in RNAcentral is "partial 16S ribosomal RNA". It matches the Rfam family "Bacterial small subunit ribosomal RNA", at positions 524 to 776 of the family's 1533-position model. The record is from RNAcentral.
UACGGAGGGUGCAAGCGUUAUCCGGAUUCACUGGGUUUAAAGGGUGCGUAGGUGGGCAGUUAAGUCAGUGGUGAAAUCUCCGGGCUUAACCCGGAAACUGCCAUUGAUACUAUCUGUCUUGAAUUUCCUGGAGGUAAGCGGAAUAUGUCAUGUAGCGGUGAAAUGCUUAGAUAUGACAUAGAACACCAAUUGCGAAGGCAGCUUACUACGGGAAUAUUGACACUGAGGCACGAAAGCGUGGGGAUCAAACAGG